Molecule: ribosomal RNA, 777 nt
Filed under: uncultured bacterium
Lineage: Bacteria
Description: partial 16S ribosomal RNA
Source: RNAcentral
AUUUCCAACGUCUAACACACAUCGUUUACGGCAUGGACUACGAGGGUAUCUAAUCCUCUUCGCUACCCAUGCUUUCGUUCCUCAGUGUCAGUAAUGAUCCAGAAAGCUGCCUUCGCAAUUGGUAUUCUUUCUAAUAUCUACGAAUUUCACCUCUACACUAGAAAUUCUGCUUUCCUCUAUCAUACUCUAGCUGAAAAGUUUUGAUGGCAGUUCCAGAGUUAAGCUCUGGGAUUUCACCACCAACUUUUUCAACCACCUACGAACUCUUUAAGCCCAGUAAUUCCGAACUACGCUAGGUCCCUUCGUAUUACCGCGGCUGCUGGCACGAAGUUAGCCGGACCUUCUUAUUCGGGUACAGUCAUUUUCUUCCCCGACGAAAGAGCUUUACAACCCAAGGGCCUUCUUCACUCACGCGGCAUCGCUGCAUCAGAGUUUCCUCCAUUGUGCAAGAUUCCCCACUGCUGCCUCCCGUAGGAGUUUGGGCCGUGUCUCAGUCCCAAUGUGGCUGAUCAUCCUCUCAAAUCAGCUAUUGAUCAUAGUCUUGGUAGGCCAUUACCCUACCAACAAACUAAUCAAGUGCGGGCUCAUCCAUUGGUGCAUAAAGCUUUCUCCGUAAAGACUUAUCCGGUAUUAGCACAAGUUUCCUCGUGUUAUUCCAGGCCAAAGGGUAGAUACCCACAUGUUACUCACCCGUCUGCCACUAAGUAUUGCUACUUCGUUCGACUUGCAUGUGUUAGGCGUGCCGCCAGCGUACGUUCUGAGCCAGGAUCAAACUCU